CUCAACUGUUUAAUUCGAUGAUCCACGAAAAACCUUACCACAAUAUGUAUAUUUAUACAGAUGUUGCACGGCUGUUUUCAGUUAAUGUUGUGAAAUAAUGGUUAAAUCCAUGAAAUUAACGGAAGCCCUUGCUCUAUUUAUAAAUUAAUUUUUAUAGAGCCGAUUCACCAUAAUAGCGGUUAAUGAUAAAAGGGACUAAGACAAGUCAUCAUGGCUUUUACAUUGUGGGCUAUAGACGUGCCACAUUUUCCUAAAACAAAGAGAUGCAAAAAUGCGAAUUUAAGCUAAUCUCAAAAAUAGGAUAAAAAGAAUAUGGAUUGUAGUCUGAAACUCGGCUACAUGAAUAAGUAAUUACUAGUAAUCGUGAAUCACCAUGUCACGGUGAAUCCAG
RNAcentral lists this non-coding RNA (391 nucleotides) under Magnaporthiopsis poae ATCC 64411. Its description in RNAcentral is "Magnaporthe poae ATCC 64411 Bacterial small subunit ribosomal RNA". It matches the Rfam family "Bacterial small subunit ribosomal RNA", at positions 938 to 1369 of the family's 1533-position model. Lineage: Eukaryota; Fungi; Ascomycota; Sordariomycetes; Magnaporthales; Magnaporthaceae. The record is from Rfam by way of RNAcentral.